Molecule: ribosomal RNA, 117 nt
Filed under: Vigna radiata var. radiata (mung bean)
Lineage: Eukaryota; Viridiplantae; Streptophyta; Magnoliopsida; Fabales; Fabaceae
Source: RNAcentral
AGGUGCAAUCAUACCAGCAGUAAUGCACCGGAUCUCAUCAGAACUCCGCAGUUAAGCGUGCUUGGGCGAGAGUAGUACUAGGAAUGGUGACUCUUAAGACUCCGACAAGUGUACCAA